This is a long non-coding RNA of Pangasianodon hypophthalmus (striped catfish), 3833 nucleotides long. RefSeq lists it as uncharacterized. The transcript is spliced from 4 exons. Lineage: Eukaryota; Metazoa; Chordata; Actinopteri; Siluriformes; Pangasiidae. The record is from RefSeq and is a predicted model, not a curated record.
ACGCAAUAAAAGGCGCAGAAGAAGAAGCGUUUAAAUAGCGUUGCUGCUCACCUGAGGAGAUUCGGGUGUCAUGUUGCAGGCGAGAGUUGAGGUGCUACAAGCUGAUGACUUCCUGUGUAGGAAGUGAAUGAAGCAGUUGAACUUGUCUCCAGCGCUCCUGAUGCGUGAGAGGGAACAUCGCCAGCAGAAUGCACGCUCACUAAGCACCGUGUCACUGGCAUCUGUGCGACAUCUCCACGUCGGUACCCCUCGCUCAGCUCCGUGCCACAGCCUCGCCCGCUAACAGCGAUAUUCUCCUCAAACACCCCGGGUACGCAUGGGUACAGGCGAUCUUUAUACAAACAGAAGGUACUGGUGAUGUUUCUCAGUUUUGUAGAAACUGGUACUGGUUGUGUUUUAUAAAAACCCAAGAGUAAAUGGUUACAAGUGGUCUUUAAAAAUUAAAUAAAUAAAACCAAGCAGGUGGUACAGGAUGUUUGGAAACACCUGAGUGCGCACACAGGUACAGGUGAUCUUUGACACACGUGCAAACACACAAGUGCAGGUGAUUUUUCUACGCAGCUGAGAAUGCUUCAGGAUGCAGAAGGAUGCUGAGGAAUGCCACAGAACACACAGUGUCUCCAGCUCCUGUAACACACACACACACACUGGUGCAGUGGAAUGUAAUGUUCUGACGAGUGACGAGCUCCUCAUGUCUCCUAUCUCAGAGUUCAUGUCCAUUAAUCCCGGCCGUCUUCCACUCAGGUAGAUGGAUCAUCGUUUUCAUAAGCAGUGCCUUUGCUAAUUUAUUUGUAGCCUGUGGCAAUUACUAAGUUCAUAAUAUGGAGUAUUUUGGUAAGCCCACCUUUUACUCAGUUAAAGAGGAUUAUUCAAAAAUAAUAAUAAACCUUUAGAUGGAUGGGCUACAACAGCAGAAGGCCAGCAGAAGAUCAGGUUCUGUUCUGUGAGCCAAAGAGUCUGAGGCUACAGUGAACACAGGAUCCAAAACUGGACAGCUGAAGAUCAGGAGAAAGACCAGAUCACGUUAACAGGGCCGGUGAGUGUACCAGUACCAGUUUAUUAAUCAGUACAUUUUAUUUGUGUGUAUUUAGUUGUUUUUUUUUUUUUUUUUUUUUGAUUUGAUUCACUUUUUUGGCUUUGACGCAUGAUUAGUAAGCAUAGUUCACCACAAAAAGAUCAUUAAUGGUAGAUUUGGCAUCACAGUGAAUGUGGUCUGUCCCGCCGAAGAUCUUAACUUUCCGAUGCUUUCAGGAAACCAAGCCCAGAACAGCGAAAUGAUUGUCUUAAUCUCCUGAGGACUUUAUGCUCUUUUGGAGAUCUUAAUCUCUGUUUUUCACUCUUUUUCAGGUUUUGCUUUCAUUCUCUCACUCACGCGCACACACAUUACUCAGCCUUGCAUGUGUCUUGUACUUUUGACCUGCUGUCAGAGAAAGGAAAUAUUUUUGUAGGGUUAAGAGAUCUUCCUUUGGAUUAGUUGUAGUGACUAAUUUAACACACUUCAAAAGCCAAACCCCAGCAGGAUGCUGUAAAUGGCACAUAGAUAAUUGUUGCUCAAACAAGGAAAUGAAAGACAAUAAAAUAGAUAUAAAAUGCAAAAAAUUAUGGACAUAUGUAAAAAUAUAGUAAUAAUAAUCUAACAAUAUGCAAUCAAAUCCAUGCUCUAUGUAUGUGUGUUUUUAUUUUACAUUUAAAUUUUUUAUAUAUAUAUAUAUAUAUAUAUAUAUUACACACACAACUUAAUAGACAAAAUAGAGUAAGAGCACACCAAUAAAGUGAGAAGAGUAAACAAAAACCAAAAAUAAUAAAAUCAGUUUAUUAUUUUUACUCUUCACUCAUGUUGGCCAUUAUAUUAUUACUACUACAUUUAUAUAUUUUUGUUAUUGAAUAUUUUUUUUUUUUUUUUUUUUUUUUUAGCUGUUUGGCGUCCCUCAGACAGCAGGUGGUGCUGUUGCACCAUGCAGCUGUAAAGCUUUAUUGACUUUAUUGACCAUUUGGAUUUAACUGUUAGUUAGCUAUCCUUUCAAGGCUUUCUUGAUUUGCAGUCGAAUCCAUGGUCCUAUAAGCACAGGAGCUAAAGAACCCAUCCAUAAGAAACUAGUCACACGAGCUCUCCAGAGGCAAAUAUGUCCCUAUUUACACGCAAUGCCUAGUAAAUUAUGUUGUGUGUUGUGUCAAACUGAAAAACACGUCUCAAGCAGAACAAUGCUGUUUGUUUUAAGAUGUUUUUAGCAGGGGUUAAAAUCCAGCAUGUGUUCAGACGACAAGCCGACGGAUUUGAUCUAAAAUGGAUCAUGAGGUUUUGCACAAACUUGUGGAGUCCAUGCCAGCUCGAGUGCUCACGGUCAUUAAAGCAAGAAAGGGGAUGUACCAAAUAUUAAACCUCUGACAUUCAGCUGCUACCUUGAAGUUAGACACAGAACAUAACUUUUCAUGCUACCCACAAACUCGAAUGCACAAAGACGACUUCUGUCCUGAAGAUUAUUCUGUGUUUGAAAACUUAUAGCCUUACCUCUGUUACAAACUGCUGACACUGGAGACUCCUUCCAAAUAUGGUAAAUAUGUAUUAGUGUCUUAGUAUAACUUUUAUGUCUUCCAAGUAUUUUGCCUUAUUUUUAUACAGGUAGUUGAUCUUCUACCAUUUUUACUUUGUAGCAUUUGGAGAUUUGCCUUAAAUAAUUUAUUUAUACUUUUUAUUUGUCUCCUCACUGGAAAGCUCACCAUAUCAACAAUUCUGAUUUUUGUUGAAUAACAGCAUGGUUUGAUCUGUUUAGAACAUGUGAAGUGUCCACCAUUAAGUCCACAAUGUCUUCGAGAAGUGUAGCGUGAAAUAAUUUACCAUGAUAUUGAUAUUCACGUCAUGAUGUCAUCAUAUCGCCCAGCCCUGCCUGUGAUGUUCCUGAGAAACUGGGAAAGCCCGCUCUUCUGAAGAUUUUCCUGUGUUGAAAAAUGUACCAAAAGCACUGCUACUGGAGACUCCUUCCAUAAUUUCUCAAAUAAUGAUCAUAGGUUUUUCUUUUUUUAAAUAUUAGACUGAGAUUAUGUGGAACAUCUGCAAGUCCCUGUGUAUGUUGUUACUUCAGAAACAUUAAUGUAUUAAUGUGUGCAUUUAUUAUAAACAUGUCUAGCCUUGCAGCUGGCAUUACUGUCAGAGCUGCUGUUAUAGAAAAUUAUGAAACACUUUCUGACCAAUCAGAUUCGAGAAGUCAAUAGCCCUGUGGUGUAAUUUCCAUUAAUAUUUAUGUUGAAGCAAUAUAGCUAGUACAUUCCACAUGCAACGUUGGGAUAUAAUGCUGCAUUCAAAAUGCAUGAUCUUUUCACACGCUUUGAGUUUUAGGCUGAGUAAGUUGUGACAGGUCAAUUUUUCACGCGAUCUGAUUGGCCAAGCUGCCCCGCAGUCAAACAUGACGGGUUUGUGUUUACUUCAGGUUGACUAUUAAGUCGGAAUAAACUGAAAUAAGAAAACGGUCGUUACAUUAUUAGAGUUUUCCUGGUGUGCAGCGACUCAGACUGUAGCAGCGAUGCUGCACGACCUGUCACCAUCCUCUGAUCCUUUAGGGCUUUAGCUUUCGACAGGAAAAUACGCCGAGGCAAACACAAACCUGUCACAGCAAACAUUCAUGAUGGUAGUAACAAGUCUGAAAAAAUGUCAUCCUUACAAUUUAUUCUAACUGUUUAAUCAACAUCAACAAAAAAAAUUACUGGCACCCCAAGAAUUAUCUAUGGAAUAAAGAAUAAAUAUAGAAAAGAAUAAAUACUAAUCGUCAUCCUCAAAGUAAAAAAUUUUAAGCAGUUGAUGGUAUUAUGCGUUUGGUUUGUUCGUGUGUCUGGCGGCU